UGAUCUCUCUUUUCUACUCAAAGAGUUCCCUUCAAUAUUUCUUGCAGGGCUGGUUUAGUGGUCACAAACUCCCUUGGGUUUUGAGAAACUCUGUCUCUCUC
This is a long non-coding RNA of Lynx canadensis (Canada lynx), 101 nucleotides long. RefSeq lists it as uncharacterized. NCBI's taxonomy places the organism in Eukaryota, Metazoa, Chordata, Mammalia, Carnivora, Felidae. The record is from RefSeq and is a predicted model, not a curated record. The transcript is spliced from 3 exons.